RNAcentral lists this ribosomal RNA (387 nucleotides) under uncultured bacterium. Its description in RNAcentral is "bacterial SSU rRNA". It matches the Rfam family "Bacterial small subunit ribosomal RNA", at positions 28 to 419 of the family's 1533-position model. The record is from RNAcentral.
GAUGAACGCUAGCGGCAGGCUUAACACAUGCAAGUCGAGGGGUAUUGGUUUUCGGACCAAGAGACCGGCGCACGGGUGCGUAACGCGUAUGCAAUCUACCUUUUGCAGAGGGAUAGCCCCAGAGAAAUUUGGAUUAAUACCUCAUAGUAUAGUACUUUGGCAUCAAGGAACUAUUAAAGUCACAACGGCAAAGAUGAGCAUGCGUCCCAUUAGCUAGUUGGUAAGGUAACGGCUUACCAAGGCUACGAUGGGUAGGGUUCUGAGAGGGAGAUCCCCCCACACUGGCACUGAGACACGGACCAGACUCCUACGGGAGCAGCAGUGAGGAAUAUUGGACAAUGGGCGCAAGCCUGAUCCAGCCAUGCCGCGUGCAGGAUGACGGUCCUA